RNAcentral lists this small RNA (28 nucleotides) under Bombyx mori (domestic silkworm). RNAcentral's name for it is "ovarian small RNA-29047". Lineage: Eukaryota; Metazoa; Arthropoda; Insecta; Lepidoptera; Bombycidae. The record is from RNAcentral.
UCGGUGGUCGGCGUGCUAGCCCCGCUAC